AUCGGAGGCGCUCAAAGGUUCCUUCAGAAUGGACGGAAACCAUUCGGAGAGUGCAAAGGCAGAAGGGAGCCUGACUGUGACACCGACGGGUGGAACAGAUACGAAAGUAGGACUUAGUGAUCCGGUGGUAUGAAAGUGGGAUUGCCAUCGCUCAACGGAUAAAAGCUACCCUGGGGAUAACAGGCUUAUCACUCCCAAGAGUUCACAUCGACGGAGUGGUUUGGCACCUCGAUGUCGGCUCAUCGCAUCCUGGGGCUGUAGCAGGUCCCAAGGGUUGGGCUGUUCGCCCAUUAAAGCGGUACGCGAGCUGGGUUCAGAACGUCGUGAGACAGUUCGGUCCCUAUCCGGCGCGGGCGUAGGAUAUCUGAGAGGAGCUGUCCUUAGUACGAGAGGACCGGGAUGGACGGACCGCUGGUGUAUCAGCUGCAUCGCCAGAUGCAUAAGGCUGGGUAGCCACGUCCGGAAGGGAUAAACGCUGAAGGCAUCUAAGCGUGAAGCCCCCCUCAAGAUGAGAUAUCCCUGCUU
RNAcentral lists this ribosomal RNA (525 nucleotides) under Butyrivibrio hungatei DSM 14810. Its description in RNAcentral is "bacterial LSU rRNA". It matches the Rfam family "Bacterial large subunit ribosomal RNA", at positions 2299 to 2820 of the family's 2925-position model. Lineage: Bacteria; Bacillati; Bacillota; Clostridia; Lachnospirales; Lachnospiraceae. The record is from RNAcentral.